This 547-nucleotide ribosomal RNA is filed under the name uncultured bacterium. RNAcentral's name for it is "bacterial SSU rRNA". It matches the Rfam family "Bacterial small subunit ribosomal RNA", at positions 777 to 1325 of the family's 1533-position model. The record is from RNAcentral.
AAUAGAUACCCAGGUAGUCCACGCCGUAAACGAUGAGAACUAGAUGUUAGGGGGCUUAGACCUUUAGUAUCGCAGCAAACGCGUUAAGUUCUCCGCCUGGGGAGUACGGCCGCAAGGUUAAAACUCAAAUGAAUUGACGGGGGCCCGCACAAGCGGUGGAGCAUGUGGUUUAAUUCGAUGCAACGCGAAGAACCUUACCUACCUUUGGAUCCACGGAAUCUUGCAGAAAUGUGAGAGUGCCUUCGGGAACCGUGAGACAGGUGCUGCAUGGCUGUCGUCAGCUCGUGUCGUGAGAUGUUGGGUUAAGUCCCGUAACGAGCGCAACCCUUGUCCUUAGUUACCAGCGAGUUAUGUCGGGGACUUUAAGGAGACUGCCGGUGAUAAACCGGAGGAAGGUGGGGAUGACGUCAAGUCCUCAUGGCCCUUACAGGUAGGGCCACACACGUGCUACAAUGGCCGGUACAAAGGGUUGCCAACCCGCGAGGGGGAGCUAAUCUCAAAAGCCGGUCGUAGUCCGGAUUGGAGUCUGCAACUCGACUCCAUGAAG